CCCAUUAACGUUUAAAUAUCAUGCUACUGAAAUGGCUGACAUCUAGCAAAAUAGAAGAAAAUUCACGAGAUAUUAGCUAGAUAUUAGAGAAAUAUAUAAUAUGAAAUUAAAAGAAAUAAAGAUUGAUAGAGCUUAUACUUGAGAAAAUCGAGCAAUAUGUACGAGUAAAAUCAAUGCCUCGUAUGUGAUUUUAACAUAUGGCAGGAUCUUUGGCCACUUGUCCUGACUGGAAACAUAGAAGAACCAAUAAGCAAAACUAAAAUUUGAAUAAACCAAAAUAAGGUAGAGUAAUUUUAUAAAAAAAUUGUAAAACUUCAAUAAGGAGCAUAUUUACUCCACAUAGUAAACAUUUCCAGCAUAUGCAAAUGUCCAAAAGUAAACCACAUCACCAAUCAGUUUCAAUCACAUGAGACCCUGUGACAUUCUUAUGAAAAAUUAAAUGAAGAAAAGUAGAUGAUUCCUACAACAUUACUAUAUUAAUAGCAUGUUAAUAGUAAAAAGAACAAAAUAUUGCAAUUUUAUUUAUUUUCUAUCGUUGUGGCUCGGGGAAUGCAUUUAUCUACUUGAUAAAUAGCACUGCCUUGUUCUACAGAGUGAUAAACUCCCAAUCAUCAAUUUAUUUGCUUCUCCAGAUUGGUGGAAUUUGUGUCUUGCCGAUUAUCUGUGAUUGGAAACGAAAAUGUCUACCAUCAAUACGAACAAUUCUUAGCAACUUUGGAUAUUUGACAGCAGUUUCAAUAUUGAAUUAGAACAAUUAUUAAAGGCUAUUGAAGAACAUACCACAUGAAACAGAGAGACUAAUUUGCAAGAAGGAUGAACCGACGAAACUGCAAGAUUAUGAACUUUCAGUAAAAGAUCGAAAAAGCCAUUGCUUAAUAGUAAAUUAAGUUGCAGAU
This 896-nucleotide long non-coding RNA is filed under the name Erythranthe guttata (spotted monkey flower). RNAcentral describes it as "long non-coding RNA (EGUT_LNC003215)". Lineage: Eukaryota; Viridiplantae; Streptophyta; Magnoliopsida; Lamiales; Phrymaceae. The record is from RNAcentral.